CGUGUAGGCGGUUCGUUAAGUCGGGUGUGAAAGCCCGGGGCUCAGCUCCGGAAGUGCGUCCGAAACUGGCGAGCUGGAGCGCGGUAGAGGAGGGUGGAAUUCCUGGUGUAGCGGUGAAAUGCGUAGAUAUCAGGAGGAACACCGGCGGCGAAGGCGGCCCUCUGGACCGUUGCUGACGCUGAGACGCGAAAGCGUGGGGAGCAAACAGGAUUAGAUACCCUGGUAGUCCACGCUGUAAACUAUGGGUACUAGGUGUUCGGGGUGUUGACCCCCUGAGUGCCGACGCUAACGCAUUAAGUACCCCGCCUGGGGACUACGGCCGCAAGGUUAA
This 331-nucleotide ribosomal RNA is filed under the name uncultured bacterium. RNAcentral describes it as "bacterial SSU rRNA". It matches the Rfam family "Bacterial small subunit ribosomal RNA", at positions 568 to 897 of the family's 1533-position model. The record is from RNAcentral.